AGAAACCUGGGAAGAAAACACAACAGUUCGCGUCAAUAGUAAGAGAGGUGUUGAACAGAAGCAGAGCCCUGGAGCGUGAGGACAGACAUUGACCGCAAUGAAGGACGUGUGCUGAAGGACGGGACUCAUUUUCAAUGAUGCCAACCUUCCUUUUUCGUGUUCAGACUGAAGUACAUUAAAGUGGAUCUGUUUUGUCUUUUGCGAAAGGAAGAAGACAAGCGUCAAGUGAUUUCCAGGGGAUGCUAUGACCUCGUCCAGGACAGCUGAAAGCAGCACAUCAUGCACAAGCUGUGGAAUCGUUUGAAUCUUCUCUGUCGCAGAGCCGUGGGACAUUCUACUGCAGUUCUCUUUGAGACCACAGGAGGAUGCUGCG
Puntigrus tetrazona (Sumatra barb) is the source of this 373-nucleotide long non-coding RNA. RefSeq lists it as uncharacterized. NCBI's taxonomy places the organism in Eukaryota, Metazoa, Chordata, Actinopteri, Cypriniformes, Cyprinidae. The record is from RefSeq and is a predicted model, not a curated record. The transcript has 3 exons.